RNAcentral lists this ribosomal RNA (253 nucleotides) under uncultured bacterium. Its description in RNAcentral is "partial 16S ribosomal RNA". It matches the Rfam family "Bacterial small subunit ribosomal RNA", at positions 524 to 776 of the family's 1533-position model. The record is from RNAcentral.
UACGUAGGGGGCGAGCGUUGUCUGGAGUUACUGGGCGUAAAGCGCACGCAGGCGGUCUGCUAAGUUUGGAGUGACAGUUGGUGGCUUAACUGCCAAAGUGCUUCGAAAACUGACAGACUUGAGGGCUUCAGAGGGACACGGAAUUCCGGGUGGAGUGGUGAAAUGCGUAGAGAUCCGGAGGAACACCAAAGGCGAAGGCAGUGUCCUGGGGAGUACCUGACGCUCAGGUGCGAAAGCCAGGGGAGCGAACGGG